Molecule: ribosomal RNA, 503 nt
Filed under: uncultured soil bacterium
Lineage: Bacteria
Description: bacterial SSU rRNA
Rfam family: Bacterial small subunit ribosomal RNA
Source: RNAcentral
AGAUUGAACGCUAGCGGGAUGCUUUACACAUGCAAGUCGAACGGCAGCGCGGACUUCGGUCUGGCGGCGAGUGGCGAACGGGUGAGUAAUAUAUCGGAACGUGCCCAGUAGCGGGGGAUAACUACGCGAAAGCGUGGCUAAUACCGCAUACGCCCUACGGGGGAAAGGGGGGGAUCGCAAGACCUCUCACUAUUGGAGCGGCCGAUAUCAGAUUAGCUAGUUGGUGAGGUAAAGGCUCACCAAGGCGACGAUCUGUAGCUGGUUUGAGAGGACGACCAGCCACACUGGGACUGAGACACGGCCCAGACUCCUACGGGAGGCAGCAGUGGGGAAUUUGGACAAUGGGGGAAACCCUGAUCCAGCCAUCCCGCGUGUGCGAUGAAGGCCUUCGGGUUGUAAAGCACCUUUGGCAGGAAGAAACGGCGUACCCGUUAAUACAGGACGUCACGUGACGGUACCUGCAGAAUAAGCACCGGCUAACUACGUGCCAGCAGCCGACGUAA